RNAcentral lists this small RNA (16 nucleotides) under Arabidopsis thaliana (thale cress). RNAcentral describes it as "ATSL006920". Lineage: Eukaryota; Viridiplantae; Streptophyta; Magnoliopsida; Brassicales; Brassicaceae. The record is from RNAcentral.
AGUAGAACCUAGAAAC